UGGGGAAUUUGGACAAUGGCGAAAGCCUGAUCCAGCAAUGCCGCGUGUGUGAAGAAGGCCUUCGGGUUGUAAAGCACUUUUGUCCGGAAAGAAAUCCUUGGCUCUAAUACAGUCGGGGGAUGACGGUACCGGAAGAAUAAGCACCGGCUAACUACGUGCCAGCAGCCGCGGUAAUACNUAGGGUGCAAGCGUUAAUCGGAAUUACUGGGCGUAAAGCGUGCGCAGGCGGUUUGCUAAGACCGAUGUGAAAAUCCCCGGGCUCAACCUGGGAACUGCAUUGGUGACUGGCAGGCUAGAGUAUGGCAGAGGGGGGUAGAAUUCCACGUGUAGCAGUGAAAAUGCGUAGAGAUGUGGAGGAAUACCGAUGGCGAAGGCAGCCCCUGGCAAGUCACUGACGCUCAUGCACGAAAAGCGUGGGGAGCAAAA
This 426-nucleotide ribosomal RNA is filed under the name uncultured bacterium. Its description in RNAcentral is "partial 16S ribosomal RNA". It matches the Rfam family "Bacterial small subunit ribosomal RNA", at positions 356 to 773 of the family's 1533-position model. The record is from RNAcentral.